AACGAACGCUGGCGGCAGGCUUAACACAUGCAAGUCCAACGCCCCGCAAGGGGAGUGGCAGACGGGUGAGUAACGCGUGGGAACAUACCCUUUUCUACGGAAUAGCUCUGGGAAACUGGAAUUAAUACCGUAUACGCCCUACGGGGGAAAGAUUUAUCGGGGAAGGAUUGGCCCGCGUUGGAUUAGCUAGUUGGUGGGGUAAAGGCCUACCAAGGCGACGAUCCAUAGCUGGUCUGAGAGGAUGAUCAGCCACAUUGGGACUGAGACACGGCCCAAACUCCUACGGGAGGCAGCAGUGGGGAAUAUUGGACAAUGGGCGCAAGCCUGAUCCAGCCAUGCCGCGUGAGUGAUGAAGGCCUUAGGGUUGUAAAGCUCUUUCACCGAUGAAGAUAAUGACGGUAGUCGGAGAAGAAGCCCCGGCUAACUUCGUG
Molecule: ribosomal RNA, 431 nt
Filed under: uncultured bacterium
Lineage: Bacteria
Description: partial 16S ribosomal RNA
Rfam family: Bacterial small subunit ribosomal RNA
Source: RNAcentral